RNAcentral lists this ribosomal RNA (235 nucleotides) under uncultured bacterium. Its description in RNAcentral is "partial 16S ribosomal RNA". It matches the Rfam family "Bacterial small subunit ribosomal RNA", at positions 96 to 334 of the family's 1533-position model. The record is from RNAcentral.
UGGCGGACGGGUGAGUAAUGUCUGGGAAACUGCCCGAUGGAGGGGGAUAACUACCGGAAACGGUAGCUAAUACCGCAUAACGUCGCAAGACCAAAGAGGGGGACCUUAGGGCCUCUUGCCAUCGGAUGUGCCCAGAUGGGAUUAGCUAGUAGGUGGGGUAAUGGCUCACCUAGGCGACGAUCCCUAGCUGGUCUGAGAGGAUGACCAGCCACACUGGAACUGAGACACGGUCCAG